This 497-nucleotide ribosomal RNA is filed under the name uncultured bacterium. RNAcentral's name for it is "partial 16S ribosomal RNA". It matches the Rfam family "Bacterial small subunit ribosomal RNA", at positions 28 to 507 of the family's 1533-position model. The record is from RNAcentral.
GACGAACGCUGGCGGCGUGCCUAAUACAUGCAAGUUGAGCGCUGAAGGUUGGUACUUGUACCAACUGGAUGAGCAGCGAACGGGUGAGUAACGCGUGGGGAAUCUGCCUUUGAGCGGGGGACAACAUUUGGAAACGAAUGCUAAUACCGCAUAAAAACUUUAAACACAAGUUUUAAGUUUGAAAGAUGCAAUUGCAUCACUCAAAGAUGAUCCCGCGUUGUAUUAGCUAGUUGGUGAGGUAAAGGCUCACCAAGGCGAUGAUACAUAGCCGACCUGAGAGGGUGAUCGGCCACAGUGGGACUGAGACACGGCCCAAACUCCUACGGGAGGCAGCAGUAGGGAAUCUUCGGCAAUGGACGAAAGUCUGACCGAGCAACGCCGCGGGAGUGAAGAAGGUUUUCGGAUCGUAAAACUCUGUUGGUAGAGAAGAACGUUGGUGAGAGUGGAAAGCUCAUCAAGUGACGGUAACUACCCAGAAAGGGACGGCUAACUACGUG